UACGUAGGGUGCGAGCGUUGUCCGGAAUUAUUGGGCGUAAAGAGCUUGUAGGCGGUUUGUCGCGUCUGCUGUGAAAAUCCGGGGCUCAACCCCGGACUUGCAGUGGGUACGGGCAGACUAGAGUGUGGUAGGGGAGACUGGAAUUCCUGGUGUAGCGGUGGAAUGCGCAGAUAUCAGGAGGAACACCGGUGGCGAAGGCAGGUCUCUGGGCCAUUACUGACACUGAGAAGCGAAAGCAUGGGGAGCGAACAGG
Molecule: ribosomal RNA, 253 nt
Filed under: uncultured bacterium
Lineage: Bacteria
Description: partial 16S ribosomal RNA
Rfam family: Bacterial small subunit ribosomal RNA
Source: RNAcentral